CCACUGCUGUGGAGUCCCAUACUAGGACGAAACGGCCGUUCAGUGC
RNAcentral lists this non-coding RNA (46 nucleotides) under Schistosoma mattheei. The record is from RNAcentral. Lineage: Eukaryota; Metazoa; Platyhelminthes; Trematoda; Strigeidida; Schistosomatidae.